GUGCUCGCUUCGGCAGCCCAUAUACUAAAAUUAGAACAAUACAGAGAAGAUUAACAUGGCCCCUGUGCAAAGAUGACGUGCAAAUGCGUGAAGCGUCCCCUAUUUUU
This is a small nuclear RNA of Nycticebus coucang (slow loris), 107 nucleotides long. The record is from RefSeq and is a predicted model, not a curated record. NCBI's taxonomy places the organism in Eukaryota, Metazoa, Chordata, Mammalia, Primates, Lorisidae.